AUACGUAGGUGACAAGCGUUAUCCGGAUUUACUGGGCGUAAAGGGCGUGUAGGCGGCCUUGCAAGUCAGAAGUGAAAUUCCUGAGCUCAACUCGGGCGCUGCUUCUGAAACUGCAGGACUUGAGUGCUGGAGGGGAUAGCGGAAUUCCUAGUGGAGCGGUAAAAUGCGCAGAUAUUAGGAAGAACACCGGUGGCGAAGGCGGCUUACUGGACGGUAACUGACGUGGAGGCGCGAAAGGGUGGGGAGCAAACAGGAUUAGAUCCCCUGGUAGUCCACGCCGUAAACGAUGAAUACUAGGUGUAGGGGGUAUCGACUCCCUCUGUGCCGCAGUUAACACAAUAAGUGCCCCGCCUGGGGAGUACGGUCGCAAGACUAAAACUCAAAUGAAUUGACGGGG
RNAcentral lists this ribosomal RNA (397 nucleotides) under uncultured bacterium. Its description in RNAcentral is "partial 16S ribosomal RNA". It matches the Rfam family "Bacterial small subunit ribosomal RNA", at positions 523 to 918 of the family's 1533-position model. The record is from RNAcentral.